GUUCUUUGCCCAAAUCAAAUUCAUAACGACUCUCGGCAACGGAUAUCUCGGCUCUCGCAUCGAUGAAGAACGUAGCGAAAUGCGAUACUUGGUGUGAAUUGCAGAAUCCCGUGAACCAUCGAGUCUUUGAACGCAAGUUGCGCCCGAAGCCGUCAGGUUGA
RNAcentral lists this ribosomal RNA (161 nucleotides) under Pouzolzia sanguinea var. sanguinea. RNAcentral's name for it is "5.8S ribosomal RNA". The stretch from base 28 to 161 matches the Rfam family "5.8S ribosomal RNA", at positions 1 to 132 of the family's 154-position model. Rfam says of the family: 5.8S ribosomal RNA (5.8S rRNA) is a component of the large subunit of the eukaryotic ribosome. It is transcribed by RNA polymerase I as part of the 45S precursor that also contains 18S and 28S rRNA. Lineage: Eukaryota; Viridiplantae; Streptophyta; Magnoliopsida; Rosales; Urticaceae. The record is from RNAcentral.